Molecule: long non-coding RNA, 435 nt
Organism: Clupea harengus (Atlantic herring)
Lineage: Eukaryota; Metazoa; Chordata; Actinopteri; Clupeiformes; Clupeidae
Source: Ensembl
UUAAUCUCCUGAUACUCUCUAGUUUUGUAAUGCAACUGUGCGUACGCUUGUUUUAUUUUGGCAGGGUUACGCAGGGCCAAUGGGUCGAACAGGACGCACUGGAUACAGGGGACCUAUAGGGCCUCCAGGGAUGCCAGCCAUAGUCGUAUGGAGAACAUCUGAAGAGGAGUGGUUCGCCUUCAAAAAAAAGAAGUUUUAUAAAAAGCUUGUAUCGUCUUGGCCGAGACAGAAGGGCCCCCCAGGACCGGUUGGACCCCUUGGAGAUCCAGGGCCCCUGGGACCACCUGGGAUUCCUGGGAAGCAGGGAAGAAAAGGAGACACUGGAAAAAUUGGGAGGAUAGGGCCUGUAGGGAUGCCUGGUCCUCCAGGGAGACCUGGGCAGGAGGGGACACCUGGAAAAGAUGCACCUGACGGCCAACCUGGCCCACCUGGGGA